GCUGUUCAUCGGAGAAAGAAAAAAAAGUUUCGAAGAUUAUUUCCGUACAAUAGCUGUGCGUUUUAUGCCGAAGAAUCGGAUUCGUCGCUUGUCAGAAAACUCAACUCGAGGUACUUACCUGGAUAUUGUAGAAAGUUGGAUAAUCGAGGAUUCGGUCUAAACGAAGAUUUUGUACCGUGCUUCAACAAUGACGCAACGACGAUCAAUAACCAUGAAAUAUAGAAAUUUUCUUGCACAACGAUUAAUGAGGAUUCUUAAUCGGUGGUAUGUUCGCCCGUCUCCUGAUGUGAACGAGUUUGAAGAAAGGCCAGGAAAUAAAGUACAACGCGUGCAGAAGCAGACUCAGCAAGUUGGCCA
Colletes gigas is the source of this 357-nucleotide long non-coding RNA. RefSeq lists it as uncharacterized. Lineage: Eukaryota; Metazoa; Arthropoda; Insecta; Hymenoptera; Colletidae. The record is from RefSeq and is a predicted model, not a curated record. The transcript has 3 exons.